CUACGGGGGGCUCCAGUGGGGAAUAUUGCACAAUGGGCGCAAGCCUGAUGCAGCCAUGCCGCGUGUAUGAAGAAGGCCUUCGGGUUGUAAAGUACUUUCAGCGGGGAGGAAGGGAGUAAAGUUAAUACCUUUGCUCAUUGACGUUACCCGCAGAAGAAGCACCGGCUAACUCCGUGCCAGCAGCCGCGGUAAUACGGAGGGUGCAAGCGUUAAUCGGAAUUACUGGGCGUAAAGCGCACGCAGGUGGUUUGUUAAGUCAGAUGUGAAAUCCCCGGGCUCAACCUGGGAACUGCAUCUGAACUGGCAAGCUUGAGUCUCGUAGAGGGGGGUAGAAUUCCAGGUGUAGCGGUGAAAUGCGUAGAGAUCUGGAGGAAUACCGGUGGCGAAGGCGGCCCCCUGGACGAAGACUGACGCUCAGGUGCGAAAGCGUGGGGAGCAAACAGGAUUAGAUACCCGGGUAGUC
RNAcentral lists this ribosomal RNA (463 nucleotides) under uncultured bacterium. RNAcentral describes it as "partial 16S ribosomal RNA". It matches the Rfam family "Bacterial small subunit ribosomal RNA", at positions 339 to 795 of the family's 1533-position model. The record is from RNAcentral.